Molecule: non-coding RNA, 503 nt
Organism: Labeo rohita (rohu)
Lineage: Eukaryota; Metazoa; Chordata; Actinopteri; Cypriniformes; Cyprinidae
Source: the annotation of a RefSeq genome assembly
AAUGAACUUCACUCAAUGGAUUCAUUUUAUGUACUGGAUACCACCACAGAUUCAUUCACACUAAAAAGCAAUAUUCAGGUAUGGUUUUCUAAUAGAAAUAGAAAUAAUAGAAUAGUGUUGGAAAUUCAAACUACAUCUGGACUGCCAACAUGGAGACACAGAUACUACUCAUGAUUCUCAUUGUAGUUACAGGUGGAUUUGCAGACAAAAUUGGACCAAAAGAAGGGGAGACUAAUAUAAUCAAGGAAGAAGGAGAUUCUGUGACACUGAGCUGCACAUAUGAAACAAACAGCAAUAAUGUGUAUCUUUUCUGGUACAGACUGUACCCUAACAAAGAACCACAGUAUUUACUGCAGAAAGGUGCCCGAUCAAACACCUAUGAGAAUAUAGCAGACCAACGGUUUCGGUCGACUACAUCCCGAACAUCCACUGAACUCAUUAUUGACAAAACAGCUCUGUCAGAUUCAGCUCUCUAUUACUGUGCUCUUCAAGCAGCCCAGUGA